Molecule: non-coding RNA, 21 nt
Organism: Caenorhabditis elegans
Lineage: Eukaryota; Metazoa; Nematoda; Chromadorea; Rhabditida; Rhabditidae
Source: Ensembl
UACUUGGACAGAUGAAGUUUU